AAUCAACGCUGGCGGCGUGCCUCAGACAUGCAAGUCGAACGAUUAAACUUUCCUUCGGGAAAGAUAUAAAGUGGCGCACGGGUGAGUAACACGUAGGUAAUGUACCUUUGGGUGGGGAAUAACCAUCGGAAACGAUGGCUAAUACCGCAUAAUGCAGCGGCAUCGCAAGAUGACAGUUGUUAAAGAUUUAUCGCCUAAAGAGCAGCCUGCGGCAGAUUAGGUAGNGGUAAGGUAAUGGCUUACCAAGCCUGCGAUCUGUAACCGACCUGAGAGGGUGGUCGGUCACACUGACACUGAAUAACGGGUCAGACUCCUACGGGAGGCAGCAGUCGGGAAUUUGGGCAAUGGCGAAAGCCUGACCCAGCAACGCCGCGUGAAGGACGAAGUCUUUCGGGAUGUAAACUUCGUAAGAAUAGGAANAAUAAAUGACGGUACUAUUUGUAAGGUCCGGCUAACUACGUGCCAGCCGCCG
Molecule: ribosomal RNA, 472 nt
Filed under: uncultured bacterium
Lineage: Bacteria
Description: bacterial SSU rRNA
Rfam family: Bacterial small subunit ribosomal RNA
Source: RNAcentral